This 292-nucleotide long non-coding RNA is filed under the name Elaeis guineensis (African oil palm). RNAcentral's name for it is "long non-coding RNA (EGUI_LNC007985)". Lineage: Eukaryota; Viridiplantae; Streptophyta; Magnoliopsida; Arecales; Arecaceae. The record is from RNAcentral.
UUGACUUUGGAUUCCUUUCUCUUCUCAGCCCAUUUCUACUUUACUUUAUAUUACUUUGAAAUGUCCAAUAGCAUGUCAUCGAAUAGAAUUCUGCAUCAAAAAAUAGUCAAAUAAUUUGUCCGUGUGAUCAAUUUUCAAAAGCAGCAGCAAUGGGUCCUUUAGUCUUUCUUCUUCUAGAAACUGUACAAUUAGCAGGAGCAGCCCUUGCCCCUUCUACUUUCGACUUUCCAUUUCUUUCUCUUUCCAGCCCUUUUCAACUUUCUUCUAUAAAUGUCCCUUACUUUGAAAUGCC